This 619-nucleotide ribosomal RNA is filed under the name Lactococcus garvieae. RNAcentral describes it as "bacterial SSU rRNA". It matches the Rfam family "Bacterial small subunit ribosomal RNA", at positions 70 to 674 of the family's 1533-position model. Lineage: Bacteria; Bacillati; Bacillota; Bacilli; Lactobacillales; Streptococcaceae. The record is from RNAcentral.
UUAAGAUAGCUUGCUAUUUUUAUGAAGAGCGGCGAACGGGUGAGUAACGCGUGGGAAAUCUGCCGAGUAGCGGGGGACAACGUUUGGAAACGAACGCUAAUACCGCAUAACAAUGAGAAUCGCAUGAUUCUUAUUUAAAAGAAGCAAUUGCUUCACUACUUGAUGAUCCCGCGUUGUAUUAGCUAGUUGGUAGUGUAAAGGACUACCAAGGCGAUGAUACAUAGCCGACCUGAGAGGGUGAUCGGCCACACUGGGACUGAGACACGGCCCAGACUCCUACGGGAGGCAGCAGUAGGGAAUCUUCGGCAAUGGGGGCAACCCUGACCGAGCAACGCCGCGUGAGUGAAGAAGGUUUUCGGAUCGUAAAACUCUGUUGUUAGAGAAGAACGUUAAGUAGAGUGGAAAAUUACUUAAGUGACGGUAUCUAACCAGAAAGGGACGGCUAACUACGUGCCAGCAGCCGCGGUAAUACGUAGGUCCCAAGCGUUGUCCGGAUUUAUUGGGCGUAAAGCGAGCGCAGGUGGUUUCUUAAGUCUGAUGUAAAAGGCAGUGGCUCAACCAUUGUGUGCAUUGGAAACUGGGAGACUUGAGUGCAGGAGAGGAGAGUGGAAUUCCAUGG